Molecule: transfer RNA, 70 nt
Filed under: Anadara cornea
Lineage: Eukaryota; Metazoa; Mollusca; Bivalvia; Arcoida; Arcidae
Description: tRNA-Trp
Source: RNAcentral
UGAGACCUUAAGUUAUUGAAGACUAUUAGCCUUCAAAGUUAAAAGAGCAAUUGAACUUUUGCAGGUUUCG